Long non-coding RNA from Myotis brandtii (Brandt's bat), 505 nucleotides. RefSeq lists it as uncharacterized. The record is from RefSeq and is a predicted model, not a curated record. NCBI's taxonomy places the organism in Eukaryota, Metazoa, Chordata, Mammalia, Chiroptera, Vespertilionidae. The transcript is spliced from 4 exons.
AGAAAAAUUUUAACUCCCAAGGCUGAAAGAGGAAAAGCUUUCAGCUACUCAAUAUUCAGUACACAAUUUGCUGGUUUGCCGUAGAUAGCCGCCAAUAUGUUGAGGAAAGCAUCCUUGCAUUCUGAGAGAGCUGCACCUGGAUCCCUUUAAAAUUUGGAGAGACUCCUAACUUCCAAGAGAAGCACUUUCUAACCUGGCUGCGAGUUGUGUGCCUCGGGACAUGGGAGCUAACAUCGGAAUGCAGUCCAUCUUCCUUUUCCAAGAACUGCCUGUCAUCAUGGAAAGAUUAACAACCAUGUGGUCAAAAUAAUCUGAUCCCGGAGGUGCCUACUCUUUGCCCGCCUUUUACUACCCGCACCUGCAUUGCCUAUAACCUGUAACCACCCUGCCUACUUCCCCAUGCCUACAAUUCCCACUUUUCCAUGUAAUCUUCGUCCUUCUACCCAAUGUAAGCAGCUGGUUUAUGGGGAAGGGUAGAGCAGAUUUUUGUGGAUGACCUACUGCU